Molecule: transfer RNA, 72 nt
Filed under: Dipodomys ordii (Ord's kangaroo rat)
Lineage: Eukaryota; Metazoa; Chordata; Mammalia; Rodentia; Heteromyidae
Rfam family: tRNA
About the family: Transfer RNA (tRNA) molecules are approximately 80 nucleotides in length. Their secondary structure includes four short double-helical elements and three loops (D, anti-codon, and T loops). Further hydrogen bonds mediate the characteristic L-shaped molecular structure. tRNAs have two regions of fundamental functional importance: the anti-codon, which is responsible for specific mRNA codon recognition, and the 3' end, to which the tRNAs corresponding amino acid is attached (by aminoacyl-tRNA synthetases). tRNAs cope with the degeneracy of the genetic code in two manners: having more than one tRNA (with a specific anti-codon) for a particular amino acid; and 'wobble' base-pairing, i.e. permitting non-standard base-pairing at the 3rd anti-codon position.
Source: Rfam by way of RNAcentral
GGGAAGGUGGCUCAGUGGUAGAGUGCUUGCUUUGCAUGCGUGAGGCCCUGGGUUCGAUUCCUCAGCACCCCA